GAAAGAACAAAGCUCCAGUUUCUGCGCCAUCAUCCCCACAUAAUGGAAGAGGGGCCUGGAAACAGAGGAGGGGCAGCCAGGCACCAAGAGGAAAAUGCAGCCUCCUUCUGGAAACAAGGGCUCCCUCCCGCAGGCUUUCCCGAGGCCGGGUUCAAAAGGCCCAUGUUCACCUGAGUUUUAGGAUCUGCCAAAAUCCAAAAGUCACCAUCUAAAAACAACUCCAAAGAAAGGUGGGAGAAGAAAGUGGGAAAAUCUUUAUCAUCGAUUGUUUAUACCUAAAGAAAGAGAGGAGAGAGAAUUCCCCGUGGCCCAGCCAGGGGGUGAAGAGUUAAUCCUAUAAUCUAGUCGGCCAGGGAGCAAGGCAAGGACAAGAGCUACCUUCCAGCUGAAGUGUGCGUGCAGAAUGUUCGAUGCUUGGCGGGCGGAGCCGAGAAGACGGAGACCAUUUGCAAGCGUUUAUUGAGUGCCCAGGGCAUACGGAGCCCUAUUCUCAGGAUGCAGUGGAAUUCUAAAGUUCACAAGAUAGGGUGCUCCCCUAUCCUCUGAGAAUGGACCCUCCCCCAGCCCCCACUUUCAGGUUCUUCUGUGUGUCCACUCCCCCUGCCCUGGUCACUGCUCCCUGCUGGGCUCAGCAAAAUACCGGCAAAUGCCUGGUGACCUUUUCAGAGUUAGACCAAUUACACUCCAGUGAAACAGCUUAAGAAUUGCAAAGCAGCACGUGCAAACUCUUCUAGUUGCUUGAGUGAGAGCCAGAGCAACGGCUCUACCCCUGGCUGCAUAUUGGAACACCUGGAGAAUUUUUUUUCACUGCCGGUGCCUGAGUUCUGCCCCGAGAGAGUAUGAUUUCAUUGCUAUUGGAGGCAGUGGCAUUUUUUAAAGCCCUCCAGGUGACUUAAACAUGCAACAGAGUGUGAGAACCACUGAACUGGAGGAUUUAGGACUUUUGAGUUGUUUCAUGGUGAAUCUUUGGGCUGAAAUUGAUCAAGUUUGCUACUUCGCUAAUGGAAUCAAGACACAGAUUCUAUUGGCUAGAUAGGCUGCCAUCUUGGAACAAAAUAACGAUGACAAGUUUUCAUA
This is a long non-coding RNA of Prionailurus viverrinus (fishing cat), 1077 nucleotides long. RefSeq lists it as uncharacterized. The transcript is spliced from 3 exons. The record is from RefSeq and is a predicted model, not a curated record. Lineage: Eukaryota; Metazoa; Chordata; Mammalia; Carnivora; Felidae.